This 440-nucleotide ribosomal RNA is filed under the name uncultured Tissierellaceae bacterium. RNAcentral's name for it is "bacterial SSU rRNA". It matches the Rfam family "Bacterial small subunit ribosomal RNA", at positions 338 to 795 of the family's 1533-position model. Lineage: Bacteria; Bacillati; Bacillota; Tissierellia; Tissierellales; Tissierellaceae. The record is from RNAcentral.
CCUACGGGGGGCAGCAGUGGGGAAUAUUGCACAAUGGAGGAAACUCUGAUGCAGCGACGUCGCGUGAGCGAAGAAGGUUUUCGAAUCGUAAAGCUCUGUCCUAUGGGAAGAAGAAAGACGGUACCAUAGAAGAAAGCCCCGGCUAACUACGUGCCAGCAGCCGCGGUAAUACGUAGGGGGCGAACGUUAUCCGGAAUGAUUGGGCGUAAAGGGGAUGUAGGCGGACCUGUAAGUCAGGUGUGAAAGGCAUGGGCUCAACCCAUGUAAGCACUUGAAACUGCGGGCCUUGAGGGAAGGAGAGGUAAGUGGAAUUCCUAGUGUAGCGGUGAAAUGCGUAGAUAUUAGGAGGAAUACCGGUGGCGAAGGCGACUUACUGGACUUUUACUGACGCUGAGGUACGAAAGCGUGGGGAGCAAACAGGAUUAGAUACCCGAGUAGUC